UUGAUUUUAGCCACCAGGU
This 19-nucleotide unclassified non-coding RNA is filed under the name Chlamydomonas reinhardtii. Its description in RNAcentral is "small RNA Cre_3929". The record is from RNAcentral. Lineage: Eukaryota; Viridiplantae; Chlorophyta; Chlorophyceae; Chlamydomonadales; Chlamydomonadaceae.